UCACAGUCUAGGGGUAUGAUUUUCGCUUCGCAUAAACAAAUGUGCGUAACUUGUGAAAGGUCGUGGGUUCAAUUCCCACAGCGUCCA
This 87-nucleotide transfer RNA is filed under the name Pyrenophora tritici-repentis Pt-1C-BFP. RNAcentral describes it as "tRNA PTRG_13085". The record is from RNAcentral. Lineage: Eukaryota; Fungi; Ascomycota; Dothideomycetes; Pleosporales; Pleosporaceae.